Molecule: long non-coding RNA, 256 nt
Filed under: Helianthus annuus (common sunflower)
Lineage: Eukaryota; Viridiplantae; Streptophyta; Magnoliopsida; Asterales; Asteraceae
Description: sRNA HanXRQr2_Chr03g0096861
Source: RNAcentral
CCCAAAAGUCUAAUCUAAGUUCAAGAGUUCAAGUUCGGAGUUCAGUGCUUUCAAAAUCCAUCUCUUUGCUUGAAUCAAGUUCGCAAAAGUUUUGAGUACGACCCGAUUUGUGGAUUUUCUUUUGCUUGCUAAACUAAGACGCAUGUUUCUGGUAAUCAGGGAUAAUAUAAUAUGGGGAAUCAGUAAUGAGAGAUUAAUGGAUGUUCAAGAGUAUUUAAAGACUCUUUAUUUUGUUAAAUCAUGUACUUUUGAAUGA